UGGAAGUUUAAGAUCAAAGUGCUGGUGAAUUCUGUUUCUGGUGAAGACCUGCUUCCUGGCUUACAGACAGCUACCAUCUCCCUGUGUGCUCACAUGACCUCUUUGUCUGAGCAAACACAAGCCAUCCUUGAGUUCCUGGUUCUGACUUCUUUGAAGACCAAGUCACCGUUUCCUUCAGCUUGAGACAAUGUUUCAGGUGAUAAGAAAAGACAAACUAUCAGAAACCCCAGAGGUGCCAAUUACCCACUUUUUUCAUGCUAACAACUUGCAUUUCUACUCAUUGGUUUAUACAAGCGUAACCAUCUCUUUCUCUUA
Lynx canadensis (Canada lynx) is the source of this 315-nucleotide long non-coding RNA. RefSeq lists it as uncharacterized. The transcript is spliced from 3 exons. The record is from RefSeq and is a predicted model, not a curated record. NCBI's taxonomy places the organism in Eukaryota, Metazoa, Chordata, Mammalia, Carnivora, Felidae.